AUGAACGCUGGCGGCGUGCCUAAUACCUGCAAGUCGCGCGAACGGACGAGAAGCUUGCUUCUCUGAUGUUAGCGGCGGACGGGUGAGUAACACGUGGAUAACCUACCUAUAAGACUGGGAUAACUUCGGGAAACCGGAGCUAAUACCGGAUAAUAUUUUGAACCGCAUGGUUCAAAAGUGAAAGACGGUCUUGCUGUCACUUAUAGAUGGAUCCGCGCUGCAUUAGCUAGUUGGUAAGGUAACGGCUUACCAAGGCAACGAUGCAUAGCCGACCUGAGAGGGUGAUCGGCCACACUGGAACUGAGGCACGGUCCAGACUCCUACGGGAGGCAGCAGUAGGGAAUCUUCCGCAAUGGGCGAAAGCCUGACGGAGCAACGCCGCGUGAGUGAUGAAGGUCUUCGGAUCGUAAAACUCUGUUAUUAGGGAAGAACAUAUGUGUAAGUAACUGUGCACAUCUUGACGGUACCUAAUCAGAAAGCCACGGCUAACUACGUG
RNAcentral lists this ribosomal RNA (496 nucleotides) under uncultured bacterium. RNAcentral describes it as "partial 16S ribosomal RNA". It matches the Rfam family "Bacterial small subunit ribosomal RNA", at positions 29 to 507 of the family's 1533-position model. The record is from RNAcentral.